UGCAGUCGAACGAUGAACUGGAGCUUGCUCCAGGGAUUAGUGGCGAACGGGUGAGUAACACGUGAGUAACCUGCCCUUGACUCUGGGAUAAGCGCUGGAAACGGCGUCUAAUACCGGAUACGAGCUUCAGCCGCAUGGCUAGGAGUUGGAAAGAAUUUCGGUCAAGGAUGGACUCGCGGCCUAUCAGCUAGUUGGUGAGGUAAUGGCUCACCAAGGCGACGACGGGUAGCCGGCCUGAGAGGGUGACCGGCCACACUGGGACUGAGACACGGCCCAGACUCCUACGGGAGGCAGCAGUGGGGAAUAUUGCACAAUGGGCGCAAGCCUGAUGCAGCAACGCCGCGUGAGGGAUGACGGCCUUCGGGUUGUAAACCUCUUUUAGUAGGGAAGAAGCGAAAGUGACGGUACCUGCAGAAAAAGCACCGGCUAACUACGUGCCAGCAGCCGCGGUAAUACGUAGGGUGCAAGCGUUGUCCGGAAUUAUUGGGCGUAAAGAGCUCGUAGGCGGUUUGUCGCGUCUGCUGUGAAAUCUGGGGGCUCAACCCCCAGCCUGCAGUGGGUACGGGCAGACUAGAGUGCGGUAGGGGAGAUUGGAAUUCCUGGUGUAGCGGUGGAAUGCGCAGAUAUCAGGAGGAACACCGAUGGCGAAGGCAGAUCUCUGGGCCGUAACUGACGCUGAGGAGCGAAAGCAUGGGGAGCGAACAGGAUUAGAUACCCUGGUAGUCCAUGCCGUAAACGUUGGGAACUAGAUGUGGGGGCCAUUCCACGGUCUCCGUGUCGCAGCUAACGCAUUAAGUUCCCCGCCUGGGGAGUACGGCCGCAAGGCUAAAACUCAAAGGAAUUGACGGGGGCCCGCACAAGCGGCGGAGCAUGCGGAUUAAUUCGAUGCAACGCGAAG
RNAcentral lists this ribosomal RNA (898 nucleotides) under Frigoribacterium sp. RNAcentral describes it as "bacterial SSU rRNA". It matches the Rfam family "Bacterial small subunit ribosomal RNA", at positions 56 to 966 of the family's 1533-position model. The record is from RNAcentral. Lineage: Bacteria; Bacillati; Actinomycetota; Actinomycetes; Micrococcales; Microbacteriaceae.